This 497-nucleotide ribosomal RNA is filed under the name uncultured bacterium. RNAcentral describes it as "partial 16S ribosomal RNA". It matches the Rfam family "Bacterial small subunit ribosomal RNA", at positions 28 to 507 of the family's 1533-position model. The record is from RNAcentral.
GACGAACGCUGGCGGCGUGCCUAAUACAUGCAAGUAGAACGCUGAAGAGAGGAGCUUGCUCUUCUUGGAUGAGUUGCGAACGGGUGAGUAACGCGUAGGUAACCUGCCUUGUAGCGGGGGAUAACUAUUGGAAACGAUAGCUAAUACCGCAUAACAAUGGAUGACACAUGUCAUUUAUUUGAAAGGGGCAAUUGCUCCACUACAAGAUGGACCUGCGUUGUAUUAGCUAGUAGGUGAGGUAACGGCUCACCUAGGCGACGAUACAUAGCCGACCUGAGAGGGUGAUCGGCCACACUGGGACUGAGACACGGCCCAGACUCCUACGGGAGGCAGCAGUAGGGAAUCUUCGGCAAUGGGGGCAACCCUGACCUAGCAACGCCGCGUGAGUGAAGAAGGUUUUCGGAUCGUAAAGCUCUGUUGUAAGUCAAGAACGAGUGUGAGAGUGGAAAGUUCACACUGUGACGGUAGCUUACCAGAAAGGGACGGCUAACUACGUG